AAUGAAUAAUCAGUCUCUGUCACAGCCUUAGGAUAUCAACAGAGGCAGCAAAGGUAUGUGGAGACCAAAGCCAAGGGGCUGUUUUCCUAAGGGAAUUUACACUGAUUCGAAGAGAGAGUCUACAUGAAGAUUUCCUGUCUGACCUCUUGAAUAGUCACAAAACUGAAGACACGGAGUGUGGGUUGGCCAGAGAGAAACCGGAAGAGAAAAGGGCAGUGGAAUCCUUUCAAAUCAUCAAAUACCUUUUCAGCUCACAGACUGGCUCAUUUUCAUUAUGUACUUUUAAAAGAAGGAAACCUGAAAUAGGUUCUUUCUAUACAGCACAUGGUGAUUCCUUUGCUAGUAAGAUCUUUUUCGUCUGUUCAUGACAUUGGAAAAUAAAACUAUGGAGUCAUACCUCAUUGGGUUUUUUAUGUUCUUUUUCUCCUAUGGCAUAUAAAAUUGAAUAUCCAGCUCCUUCAGAAAUAAACAUAUAUCCCUCAAUAAGCUCAACUUUCAGUAACAUUUAAAACUUCAAAG
This 519-nucleotide long non-coding RNA is filed under the name Capra hircus (goat). Its description in RNAcentral is "lncRNA (ENSCHIG00000007854.1)". The record is from RNAcentral. Lineage: Eukaryota; Metazoa; Chordata; Mammalia; Artiodactyla; Bovidae.